Long non-coding RNA from Bufo bufo (common toad), 167 nucleotides. RefSeq lists it as uncharacterized. The record is from RefSeq and is a predicted model, not a curated record. Lineage: Eukaryota; Metazoa; Chordata; Amphibia; Anura; Bufonidae. The transcript has 3 exons.
AGGGACAACCCACCAUUCCUCUUCCUCCUCCUCUAAGGGGAUUUCCUCUGUACUCAGAGCAGGAGGAGGCAUCUCCUCCACGCACACAGGCUCAUCAAAAUUACAACGUCUCAACAUGUUACGAUGCAAGUUUUGUGAGGGCCUCCCAGUAGAAAUAUUCCAUAGUU